AGUGAACGCUGGCGGCAUGCCUAACACAUGCAAGUCGAACGGUAACAGGCCCGCAAGGGUGCUGACGAGUGGCGGACGGGUGAGGAAUACAUCGGAAUUUGCCCAGUCGUGGGGGAUAACGUAGGGAAACUUACGCUAAUACCGCAUACGACCUAACGGUGAAAGCGGGGGAUCGCAAGACCUCGCGCGGAUGGAUAAGCCGAUGUCGGAUUAGCUAGUUGGCGGGGUAAAGGCCCACCAAGGCGACGAUCCGUAGCUGGUCUGAGAGGAUGAUCAGCCACACUGGGACUGAGACACGGCCCAGACUCCUACGGGAGGCAGCAGUGGGGAAUAUUGGACAAUGGGGGCAACCCUGAUCCAGCAAUGCCGCGUGUGUGAAGAAGG
RNAcentral lists this ribosomal RNA (384 nucleotides) under uncultured bacterium. RNAcentral describes it as "bacterial SSU rRNA". It matches the Rfam family "Bacterial small subunit ribosomal RNA", at positions 29 to 414 of the family's 1533-position model. The record is from RNAcentral.